RNAcentral lists this ribosomal RNA (253 nucleotides) under uncultured bacterium. Its description in RNAcentral is "partial 16S ribosomal RNA". It matches the Rfam family "Bacterial small subunit ribosomal RNA", at positions 524 to 776 of the family's 1533-position model. The record is from RNAcentral.
GACGAACCGAGCGAACGUUGUUCGGAAUCACUGGGCUUAAAGGGCGCGUAGGCGGGUGUCUAAGUCUGUGGUGAAAUCCAGCAGCUCAACUGUUGAAUUGCCUCGGAUACUGGACGUCUUGAGGAAGGUAGGGGUGUGUGGAACGGUUGGUGGAGCGGUGAAAUGCGUUGAUAUCAACCGGAACUCCGGUGGCGAAGGCGACACACUGGACCUUUUCUGACGCUGAGGCGCGAAAGCUAGGGGAGCAAACGGG